This 170-nucleotide ribosomal RNA is filed under the name Apogonichthyoides timorensis (Timor cardinalfish). RNAcentral's name for it is "partial 12S rRNA". Lineage: Eukaryota; Metazoa; Chordata; Actinopteri; Kurtiformes; Apogonidae. The record is from RNAcentral.
CACCGCGGUUAUACGAGAGGCUCAAGCUGACAGUCCGCGGCGUAAAGAGUGGUUAAUCUACUCCCAAAAACUAAAGCCGAACAUCUCCAAAGUUGUUAAACACAUUCGAAGAAAUGAAGAUCACCCACGAAAGUGGCUUUAUACCCUUUGAGUCCACGAAAGCUAGGGAA